GUGGUGGCUCAGCGGUAGAGCGCUUGCCCAGCACGUGCGAGGCCCUGGGUUCCAUCCUCAGCACCACG
This 68-nucleotide transfer RNA is filed under the name Marmota monax (woodchuck). RNAcentral describes it as "tRNA.Ala". The record is from RNAcentral. Lineage: Eukaryota; Metazoa; Chordata; Mammalia; Rodentia; Sciuridae.